UACGAAGGGGGCUAGCGUUGCUCGGAAUUACUGGGCGUAAAGCGCACGUAGGCGGCUCUUUAAGUCGGGGGUGAAAUCCUGGAGCUCAACUCCAGAACUGCCUUCGAUACUGUAGAGCUUGAGUUCGGGAGAGGUGAGUGGAACUGCGAGUGUAGAGGUGAAAUUCGUAGAUAUUCGCAAGAACACCAGUGGCGUAGGCGGCUCACUGGCCCGAUACUGACGCUGAGGUGCGAAAGCGUGGGGAGCAAACAGG
RNAcentral lists this ribosomal RNA (253 nucleotides) under uncultured bacterium. Its description in RNAcentral is "partial 16S ribosomal RNA". It matches the Rfam family "Bacterial small subunit ribosomal RNA", at positions 524 to 776 of the family's 1533-position model. The record is from RNAcentral.